AGCGGCGGACGGGUGAGUAACACGUGGGCAACCUGCCUGUAAGACUGGGAUAACUCCGGGAAACCGGAGCUAAUACCGGAUACUAUGUCAAACCGCAUGGUUUGACAUUCAAAGACGGUUUCGGCUGUCACUUACAGAUGGGCCCGCGGCGCAUUAGCUAGUUGGUGAGGUAAUGGCUCACCAAGGCGACGAUGCGUAGCCGACCUGAGAGGGUGAUCGGCCACACUGGGACUGAGACACGGCCCAGACUCCUACGGGAGGCAGCAGUAGGGAAUCUUCCGCAAUGGACGAAAGUCUGACGGAGCAACGCCGCGUGAGUGAUGAAGGUUUUCGGAUCGUAAAACUCUGUUGUCAGGGAAGAACAAGUGCCGGAGUAACUGCCGGCGCCUUGACGGUACCUGACCAGAAAGCCACGGCUAACUACGUGCCAGCAGCCGCGGUAAUACGUAGGUGGCAAGCGUUGUCCGGAAUUAUUGGGCGUAAAGCGCGCGCAGGCGGUUUCUUAAGUCUGAUGUGAAAGCCCCCGGCUCAACCGGGGAGGGUCAUUGGAAACUGGGAAACUUGAGUGCAGAAGAGGAGAGUGGAAUUCCACGUGUAGCGGUGAAAUGCGUAGAGAUGUGGAGGAACACCAGUGGCGAAGGCGACUCUCUGGUCUGUAACUGACGCUGAGGCGCGAAAGCGUGGGGAGCGAACAGGAUUAGAUACCCUGGUAGUCCACGCCGUAAACGAUGAGUGCUAAGUGUUAGAGGGUUUCCGCCCUUUAGUGCUGCAGCUAACGCAUUAAGCACUCCGCCUGGGGAGUACGGUCGCAAGACUGAAACUCAAAGGAAUUGACGGGGGCCCGCACAAGCGGUGGAGCAUGUGGUUUAAUUCGAAGCAACGCGAGAACCUUACCAGGUCUUGACAUCCUUUGCCACUUCUAGAGAUAGAAAGGUUC
This 937-nucleotide ribosomal RNA is filed under the name uncultured prokaryote. Its description in RNAcentral is "bacterial SSU rRNA". It matches the Rfam family "Bacterial small subunit ribosomal RNA", at positions 94 to 1017 of the family's 1533-position model. The record is from RNAcentral.